UGUGUGACGCCAUACAGAGUUUCGAUUUUUGAGGAUUUAAAAAGCUGUAAUUCAACGAAAGUAUACUACAAAAAAAAAUAGUGUACGGAUAGGUAAACACGGAGACAUUUAUUUCUGGGUCCAGCAUGAAAGGACGACAUCCGAAAUUCCGAGAAAAUUAUUUCGAUAAUCACAACGCAUGAAAAUCGUAUCAAAAUAUUAUAUUGUUCGAAUAUAGACUAUUGAUAACUCUUAGAAAUUAAGUUUUAAGCAGGGAUGGAAACUUCGGGGUACAUAGUCGAAGAUGUUUACAUUUUCGGAUCUAAAUGCUC
This is a non-coding RNA of Cinara cedri, 311 nucleotides long. Lineage: Eukaryota; Metazoa; Arthropoda; Insecta; Hemiptera; Aphididae. The record is from the annotation of a GenBank genome assembly.